AACGAAGAUUUCGGGGGCCUCGGUACAGGCAGGCUGGGGAAUCCCCUCUUUUACACCCGGCGGCAGACGCAGCAUCCGCGCGCAACCGCCACACCCGUUUCGGGGACCUCGGUACAGGCAGGCUGAGAACUCCCCUCUUUUAUGCCCGGCGGUAGCGCAGCGAUCCGCGCCUCCGCCCUCCCGUUUGGGGACCUCGGUACAGGCAGGCUGAGAAUUCCCCCUUUUAUUCCCGGCCG
Small RNA from Pseudomonas aeruginosa PAO1, 236 nucleotides. It matches the Rfam family "Nitrogen regulated small RNA". From Rfam's summary of the family: Its transcription is induced during nitrogen limitation by the NtrB/C two-component system (an important regulator of nitrogen assimilation and swarming motility) together with the alternative sigma factor RpoN (a global regulator involved in nitrogen metabolism). By activating rhlA (a gene essential for rhamnolipids synthesis) it positively regulates the production of rhamnolipid surfactants needed for swarming motility. The record is from Rfam. Lineage: Bacteria; Pseudomonadati; Pseudomonadota; Gammaproteobacteria; Pseudomonadales; Pseudomonadaceae.